RNAcentral lists this ribosomal RNA (389 nucleotides) under Clostridioides difficile. RNAcentral describes it as "bacterial SSU rRNA". It matches the Rfam family "Bacterial small subunit ribosomal RNA", at positions 1136 to 1524 of the family's 1533-position model. Lineage: Bacteria; Bacillati; Bacillota; Clostridia; Peptostreptococcales; Peptostreptococcaceae. The record is from RNAcentral.
CACUCUAGAGAGACUGCCAGGGAUAACCUGGAGGAAGGUGGGGAUGACGUCAAAUCAUCAUGCCCCUUAUGCUUAGGGCUACACACGUGCUACAAUGGGUAGUACAGAGGGUUGCCAAACCGUAAGGUGGAGCUAAUCCCUUAAAGCUACUCUCAGUUCGGAUUGUAGGCUGAAACUCGCCUACAUGAAGCUGGAGUUACUAGUAAUCGCAGAUCAGAAUGCUGCGGUGAAUGCGUUCCCGGGUCUUGUACACACCGCCCGUCACACCACGGGAGUUGGAGACGCCCGAAGCCGAUUAUCUAACCUUUUGGAAGAAGUCGUCGAAGGUGGAAUCAAUAACUGGGGUGAAGUCGUAACAAGGUAGCCGUAUCGGAAGGUGCGGCUGGAUC